This 103-nucleotide non-coding RNA is filed under the name Clostridium sp. RNAcentral's name for it is "TPP sequence". It matches the Rfam family "TPP riboswitch aptamer (THI element)". From Rfam's summary of the family: Vitamin B(1) in its active form thiamin pyrophosphate (TPP) is an essential coenzyme that is synthesised by coupling of pyrimidine and thiazole moieties in bacteria. The previously detected thiamin-regulatory element, thi box was extended, resulting in a new, highly conserved RNA secondary structure, the THI element, which is widely distributed in eubacteria and also occurs in some archaea. Analysis of operon structures identified a large number of new candidate thiamin-regulated genes, mostly transporters, in various prokaryotic organisms. Lineage: Bacteria; Bacillati; Bacillota; Clostridia; Eubacteriales; Clostridiaceae. The record is from RNAcentral. RNAcentral also lists the same sequence under 1 other name.
AAAUUCUGCUAGGGGGGCCUUUUAUUGGCUGAGAAAGCAUAUUGCUUGACCCUUUGAACUUGACGUGGUUAGUACCAACGAAAGGAAGCAAAUUGUCAAUUAU